UUUCAAAGAAUGAAGUUCCAUAACUUCUCAAUGUCAUAUCAGAAAUUUAUAAUAAAUUGCAUCGCCGAGCGCAGCUGGAUACGACCGCAGAGGUCCAACCCUGAACAGUUGGGGCAAAAAUGGAUGCAAUAUUCCCACUUGAUACAAGUUUGAAUUUGGAUUGUAAUUAAAUAUUUGACACAUAAAAGGUUUCUGACACAGAAUAACUGUAGUCAAAGAACUUAGAAUUGGUUAUAUGAUUUGAAUUUAUAUUCAAUUUUUUGCUUUUGUGCAAUACACUUUGCUGUUGCAAAUUGACCACC
Molecule: long non-coding RNA, 302 nt
Organism: Mytilus californianus (California mussel)
Lineage: Eukaryota; Metazoa; Mollusca; Bivalvia; Mytilida; Mytilidae
Exons: 2
Source: RefSeq, a predicted model, not a curated record